This 663-nucleotide ribosomal RNA is filed under the name uncultured cyanobacterium. Its description in RNAcentral is "bacterial SSU rRNA". It matches the Rfam family "Bacterial small subunit ribosomal RNA", at positions 99 to 795 of the family's 1533-position model. Lineage: Bacteria; Bacillati; Cyanobacteriota. The record is from RNAcentral.
CGGACGGGUGAGUAACGCGUGAGAAUCUGCCUUCAGGUCUGGGACAACCACUGGAAACGGUGGCUAAUACCGGAUGUGCCGCAAGGUGAAAGGUUAACUGCCUGAAGAUGAGCUCGCGUCUGAUUAGCUAGUAGGUAGUGUAAAGGACUACCUAGGCGACGAUCAGUAGCUGGUCUGAGAGGACGAUCAGCCACACUGGGACUGAGACACGGCCCAGACUCCUACGGGAGGCAGCAGUGGGGAAUUUUCCGCAAUGGGCGAAAGCCUGACGGAGCAAUACCGCGUGAGGGAGGAAGGCUCUUGGGUCGUAAACCUCUUUUCUCAGGGAAGAACACAAUGACGGUACCUGAGGAAUAAGCAUCGGCUAACUCCGUGCCAGCAGCCGCGGUAAUACGGAGGAUGCAAGCGUUAUCCGGAAUGAUUGGGCGUAAAGCGUCCGCAGGUGGCAAUGUAAGUCUGCUGUUAAAGAGUCUAGCUCAACUAGAUAAGAGCAGUGGAAACUACAUAGCUAGAGUACGUUCGGGGCAGAGGGAAUUCCUGGUGUAGCGGUGAAAUGCGUAGAGAUCAGGAAGAACACCAGUGGCGAAGGCGCUCUGCUAGGCCGUAACUGACACUGAGGGACGAAAGCUAGGGGAGCGAAUGGGAUUAGAUACCCCAGUAGUC